This 285-nucleotide unclassified non-coding RNA is filed under the name uncultured fungus. Its description in RNAcentral is "partial contains small subunit ribosomal RNA, internal transcribed spacer 1, and 5.8S ribosomal RNA". The stretch from base 1 to 73 matches the Rfam family "Eukaryotic small subunit ribosomal RNA", at positions 1759 to 1831 of the family's 1831-position model. The record is from RNAcentral. Lineage: Eukaryota; Fungi.
CCAAACUUGGUCAUUUAGAGGAAGUAAAAGUCGUAACAAGGUUUCCGUAGGUGAACCUGCGGAAGGAUCAUUACCGAGUAUCGGGGCCCUCGGGUCCCUACUCCCACCCCAUGUUGACUUUGAAUGUUGCUUUGGCGGACCGGUGGUCACACCGCCGGCCUCGCGCUGGAGAGCGUCCGCCAGAGGUCUUUCAGACGCCGUCGGGUGAGCUCUGAGUCUUUGAGAAAUUGAAUUAAAACUUUCAACAACGGAUCUCUUGGUUCUGGCAUCGAUGAAGAACGCAGC